UGGGGAAUAUUGCACAAUGGGGGAAACCCUGAUGCAGCGACGCCGCGUGAACGAAGAAGGUAUUCGUAUCGUAAAGUUCUGUCCUAUGGGAAGAUAAUGACAGUACCAUAGAAGAAAGCUCCGGCUAAAUACGUGCCAGCAGCCGCGGUAAUACGUAUGGAGCGAGCGUUGUCCGGAAUUAUUGGGCGUAAAGGGUACGCAGGCGGUUUAAUAAGUCGAAUGUUAAAGAUCGGGGCUCAACCCCGCAAAGCAUUGGAAACUGAUAAACUUGAGUAGUGGAGAGGAAAGUGGAAUUCCCAGUGUAGUGGUGAAAUACGUAGAUAUUAGGAGGAAUACCAGUAGCGAAGGCGACUUUCUGGACACAAACUGACGCUGAGGUACGAAAGCGUGGGGAGCAAACAGG
This 403-nucleotide ribosomal RNA is filed under the name bacterium. RNAcentral's name for it is "partial 16S ribosomal RNA". It matches the Rfam family "Bacterial small subunit ribosomal RNA", at positions 355 to 776 of the family's 1533-position model. The record is from RNAcentral.